CCUACGGGUGUCAGCAGUGGGGGAUAUUGCACAAUGGGGGGAACCCUGAUGCAGCGACGCCGCGUGGGUGAAGGAGCGUUUCGGCGCGUAAAGCCCUAUCGGCAGGGAAGAAGAUGACGGUACCUGACCAAGAAGCCCUGGCUAACUACGUGCCAGCAGCCGCGGGAAUACGUAGGGGGCAAGCGUUCUCCGGUUUUACUGGGUGUAACGGUGUCGCAGGUGGCAAUGCAAGUCAUGAGUGAAAGCCCAGGGCCCAACGCCGGGACUGCUCUUGGAACUGCAUGGCGGGAGUAGAGGAGGGGCAGGCGGAAUUCCUGGUGUAGCGGUGAAAUGCGUAGAUAUCAGGAGGAACACCGGCGGCGAAGGCGGCCUGCUGGACUGAAACUGACGGUGAGGCUCGAAAGCGUGGGGAGCAAACAGGAGUAGAUACCCUUGUAGUC
RNAcentral lists this ribosomal RNA (440 nucleotides) under uncultured bacterium. RNAcentral's name for it is "partial 16S ribosomal RNA". It matches the Rfam family "Bacterial small subunit ribosomal RNA", at positions 338 to 795 of the family's 1533-position model. The record is from RNAcentral.